RNAcentral lists this ribosomal RNA (1341 nucleotides) under uncultured bacterium. Its description in RNAcentral is "bacterial SSU rRNA". It matches the Rfam family "Bacterial small subunit ribosomal RNA", at positions 28 to 1381 of the family's 1533-position model. The record is from RNAcentral.
GAUGAACGCUGGCGGCGUGCUUACACAUGCAAGUCGAACGAUGAAGCCCAGCUUGCUGGGUGGAUUAGUGGCGAACGGGUGAGUAACACGUGAGUAACCUGCCCUUAACUCUGGGAUAAGCCUGGGAAACUGGGUCUAAUACCGGAUAGGAGCGUCCACCGCAUGGUGGGUGUUGGAAAGAUUUAUCGGUUUUGGAUGGACUCGCGGCCUAUCAGCUUGUUGGUGAGGUAAUGGCUCACCAAGGCGACGACGGGUAGCCGGCCUGAGAGGGUGACCGGCCACACUGGGACUGAGACACGGCCCAGACUCCCACGGGAGGCAGCGGUGGGGAAUAUUGCACAAUGGGCGCAAGCCUGAUGCAGCGACGCCGCGUGAGGGAUGACGGCCUUCGGGUUGUAAACCUCUUUCAGUAGGGAAGAAGCGAAAGUGACGGUACCUGCAGAAGAAGCACCGGCUAACUACGUGCCAGCAGCCGCGGUAAUACGUAGGGUGCGAGCGUUAUCCGGAAUUAUUGGGCGUAAAGAGCUCGUAGGCGGUUUGUCGCGUCUGUCGUGAAAGUCCGGGGCUUAACCCCGGAUCUGCGGUGGGUACGGGCAGACUAGAGUGCAGUAGGGGAGACUGGAAUUCCUGGUGUAGCGGUGGAAUGCGCAGAUAUCAGGAGGAACACCGAUGGCGAAGGCAGGUCUCUGGGCUGUAACUGACGCUGAGGAGCGAAAGCAUGGGGAGCGAACAGGAUUAGAUACCCUGGUAGUCCAUGCCGUAAACGUUGGCACUAGGUGUGGGGACCAUUCCACGGUUUCCGCGCCGCAGCUAACGCAUUAAGUGCCCCGCCUGGGGAGUACGGCCGCAAGGCUAAAACUCAAAGGAAUUGACGGGGGCCCGCACAAGCGGCGGAGCAUGCGGAUUAAUUCGAUGCAACGCGAAGAACCUUACCAAGGCUUGACAUGUUCUCGAUCGCCGUAGAGAUACGGUUUCCCCUUUGGGGCGGGUUCACAGGUGGUGCAUGGUUGUCGUCAGCUCGUGUCGUGAGAUGUUGGGUUAAGUCCCGCAACGAGCGCAACCCUCGUUCCAUGUUGCCAGCACGUCGUGGUGGGGACUCAUGGGAGACUGCCGGGGUCAACUCGGAGGAAGGUGAGGACGACGUCAAAUCAUCAUGCCCCUUAUGUCUUGGGCUUCACGCAUGCUACAAUGGCCGGUACAAUGGGUUGCGAUACUGUGAGGUGGAGCUAAUCCCAAAAAGCCGGUCUCAGUUCGGAUUGGGGUCUGCAACUCGACCCCAUGAAGUCGGAGUCGCUAGUAAUCGCAGAUCAGCAACGCUGCGGUGAAUACGUUCCCGGGCCU